GCCUCUCUAACACCGUUAGUUCUACAGCUUCCAUAGUGGUCCAUUUUCUUUAUCCUCCUAUUUCUUGAAGGAUUCUUGAAGCUACUCAACAAACUUCAUGGCAUAUAUGGCAAUGUACGCCGACCACAUCCAAGAACAGUACAGCCACUCCUCCCAAACAGUCAAUCAUUAGAGGAUGAAGAUGGAUUCAGAAGAUUAUGUCUUACCUUAAUUUAGGGUUUUGAAGCUUCUGUGUCUAGGGAAAGCUAAGUGCAAUGCUGACAAGUGCUUGAGGAGCUUGAUAAUGUGAGCAGACGGCUAUGUUAUUACAUUGUGCGGUUCAUGUUUGUUGAAGUUCUUCAUGAUUCCAAUUCCAAGGGGCCAGCAAUCCAUCCGCUCCUAAUGAUUUUUAUGACAGGAAGACAUUAGUGAACCUAGCAAGGAAUGGCAGAUCAGGGAUUGGAAAUUAAUGUUGCUUUUGCUUCCUUCAGUUGAGAUUCUAAAUAUAGAACCAACAUGUUUGUUGACUUUAUGUUAUUAAUCUUCAUAAUGUUUGCUCUUCUCAAGUGUAUCUGAACAUUUCUAUGCUAAAGUGUCUUGCAUUCCUUUCAUUGAACCUUU
Long non-coding RNA from Prosopis cineraria, 600 nucleotides. RefSeq lists it as uncharacterized. The record is from RefSeq and is a predicted model, not a curated record. The transcript is spliced from 3 exons. NCBI's taxonomy places the organism in Eukaryota, Viridiplantae, Streptophyta, Magnoliopsida, Fabales, Fabaceae.